Molecule: small nucleolar RNA, 299 nt
Organism: Myxocyprinus asiaticus (Chinese sucker)
Lineage: Eukaryota; Metazoa; Chordata; Actinopteri; Cypriniformes; Catostomidae
Source: RefSeq, a predicted model, not a curated record
GCCCAGUGAUGAGACCAAGGUGAAUGUUAGCCCAUUGAAUUAGAGUCUGAACUCUACUGUAUUCCCAUUGGCUGGUAAUCUUUGCUGAACAGUGAAGAUUUGCUGUCUUGCUGUAAGGGCCAGCCUACAUUCAACAAGCUCUUCCCUUUUGAAUUUUUAUCCUUUCAAGAAAUUGGAAAAGAGACCGAGGGGUGGGUGGGUGGGUGGGUGUGCGUGUGGUUGUGUGAAGGAUCAUGGGGUGCGUCUCAGUUCUCUGUAGUAAUUCUGUGGACACUACUCUCUCUGGUUGUCUGAGGGCA